GGCGUGCUAAUCUGCGAUAAGCGCCGGUAAGGUGAUAUGAACCGUUAUAACCGGCGAUACCCGAAUGGGGAAACCCAGUGUGAUUCGUCACACUAUCAUUAACUGAAUCCAUAGGUUAAUGAGGCGAACCGGGGGAACUGAAACAUCUAAGUACCCCGAGGAAAAGAAAUCAACCGAGAUUCCCCCAGUAGCGGCGAGCGAACGGGGAGGAGCCCAGAGCCUGAAUCAGCAUGUGUGUUAGUGGAAGCGUCUGGAAAGGCGCGCGAUACAGGGUGACAGCCCCGUACACAAAAGCGCAUGUGCUGUGAGCUCGAUGAGUAGGGCGGGACACGUGGUAUCCUGUCUGAAUAUGGGGGGACCAUCCUCCAAGGCUAAAUACUCCUGACUGACCGAUAGUGAACCAGUACCGUGAGGGAAAGGCGAAAAGAACCCCGGCGAGGGGAGUGAAAAAGAACCUGAAACCGUG
RNAcentral lists this ribosomal RNA (466 nucleotides) under Salmonella enterica. RNAcentral describes it as "partial 23S ribosomal RNA". It matches the Rfam family "Bacterial large subunit ribosomal RNA", at positions 55 to 560 of the family's 2925-position model. Lineage: Bacteria; Pseudomonadati; Pseudomonadota; Gammaproteobacteria; Enterobacterales; Enterobacteriaceae. The record is from RNAcentral.